This 713-nucleotide long non-coding RNA is filed under the name Brassica napus (rape). RNAcentral describes it as "long non-coding RNA (BNAP_LNC008589)". The record is from RNAcentral. Lineage: Eukaryota; Viridiplantae; Streptophyta; Magnoliopsida; Brassicales; Brassicaceae.
AGCCAUGUUUUUAACUUUAUGUGACAUUUUUAGUCACAAUUUCGCUUUCAAUGAUUGACUACCUGCCAAUAAAUUUUUUUCUAAUUUGACCUGAAACUUCAUAAAGUUGACUGACUAUACACACCCACAAACCGUUCCCCAUACCAAUCUACAAGGAACAUUUUACAAAAUUCACCUGAAACUUUUAAAAAGAAGAAAUUUACACCCUAAAGGCUGCUAAAACGUGACGGCCUUAUCCACUGUCAAAGGCCAUAUGGCGCUACAUUUAGCCGUUUACGAAUUAAACUUCACUUUGUACCUUUUUAAUGUCGUUUUUGUUGGGAUUGGAAAAUCCCAUAUCCAACUCUAUAUUUUCCGAUUAAUACGAUAUUGUCUACUUUGUGCUUUAGAGGUUGGCCCACAUGGAUUUACUUUUGGUUUUCUUUCCAAAAGACCUCGUACUAUUAGAGUUGGACAUCUCUUUAUAUAUUAGACACUCUUUGUCUAAUUAUCCAAUGUGAGACUUAGUUUGUUAUCUCACAUUCUCUCCCUCAAACUAAAGAUCACAUUCAUCUCGUGUCCCACAACUGACUUCGAAGAUCUUUUGACUUGAUCUCUGCCACACACACCUCUCAAUCCUAACUCGAUGAGUCCCGUUCCUACUCGAAGGGUAUUUUGGUCUUCUUGCAAAUUUUCGUCAAACCGGUCUGAUACCCCAAUUGUUGGGAUUGUGA